RNAcentral lists this ribosomal RNA (492 nucleotides) under uncultured bacterium. RNAcentral's name for it is "partial 16S ribosomal RNA". It matches the Rfam family "Bacterial small subunit ribosomal RNA", at positions 29 to 507 of the family's 1533-position model. The record is from RNAcentral.
AGUGAACGCUGGCGGUAGGCCUAACACAUGCAAGUCGAACGGCCGCACAGUAAGAGCUUGCUCUUACGGGUGGCGAGUGGCGGACGGGUGAGGCAUACAUCGGAAUCUACUUUUUCGUGGGGGAUAACGUAGGGAAACUUACGCUAAUACCGCAUACGACCUACGGGUGAAAGCAGUGGAUCUUCGGACCUUGCGCGAUUGAAUUAGCCGAUGUCGGAUUAGCUAGUUGGCGGGGUAAAGGCCCACCAAGGCGACGAUCCGUAGCUGGUCUGAGAGGAUGAUCAGCCACACUGGAACUGAGACACGGUCCAGACUCCUACGGGAGGCAGCAGUGGGGAAUAUUGGACAAUGGGCGCAAGCCUGAUCCAGCCAUACCGCGUGGGUGAAGAAGGCCUUCGGGUUGUAAAGCCCUUUUGUUGGGAAAGAAAAGCAGCAGGUUAAUACCCCGCUGUUCUGACGGUACCCAAAGAAUAAGCACCGGCUAACUUCGUG